AACUUCACCAAAAUCCGAGAACCACAAGAGAUCGACAACACCAUCAACCAAAUCACGUGAGAAUCUUCAAAGCAAUCAAACCAAGAAGGAGGAUACAACAUAAACCAAUCACUGGCCACCAACUGCUCGAUGAAAGCACUGACACAAUCCAAACCAUAUGAAACCCACGUAAUCGGAAUGUAGAAAAGUUUUCGAAAAUGCUAAAAGAACCCAUGCCACAUACUCCCUAUCCUCCCGAAUCGAAAAACACAAGUCCUGACAACUGAAAACCCACAACCAGACCAAAUAGACGACGCAACCAUAAUCCCACCAGCUCCAAAAACCAAAAGCCGAAGCUCAACGUGAAAACACCAACAUUCUAUCUAAAAACAGCAUGGUAAUGAUGAAUAAUAAUCCAAACAAAUCGGCAAACACCAUAGAACCCCUCAAUCAGUAAAUCCCAGUCAAACUGAAUCUACAACAAAUCAUCGAAAAAACUGAGGGGAGCCAGAAAACCAUGCACGAACAAUCGAAGAUCGACCAAAAUCCACCAACAUCUAACUGAAAGACCUUCUUCCUGCUACCAAAAUAACAAAUAAACACAAACCUCCAACGAGCACCACCCCAAAAAAUACAAGGCAAAACCCAAAUUAUAUGUUGCCACCAUCCUUCUUCCAUGUCAUGACUAACCAAAAUAUCUGCUACAGCAUGACCUUCCCGAUAAAUAUGCAAAACCCUCAACUCAGUGUCACGUAAAAGCUUUAAAAUUUUCUCCAAGUAGCCACAAACUGCCAUGGGACCACGGUCCAACGACUCAAGCAAACGAACCACAUAACUAGAAUUAGCUUCUAUCCAAAGAUUCACCCAACGUGCGCAAUCUUAGCAUAUCUGACGAAUAAUACAACACAAACAAAUCAUUAAUAUGAAAUUCAUGAUUAUACAGAUAGGCCUGUACGGGUGUACUCACAAUAUGAGUUUUUAAAUUUGCUCUUCAAUAUAAUUAAGAAAUUUUUAUUAAAGCUCCAUGUAAAGAACUACCUUUCUUAUACGAGAAUAAC
This 1037-nucleotide long non-coding RNA is filed under the name Salvia miltiorrhiza (redroot sage). RNAcentral's name for it is "long non-coding RNA (SMIL_LNC007774)". Lineage: Eukaryota; Viridiplantae; Streptophyta; Magnoliopsida; Lamiales; Lamiaceae. The record is from RNAcentral.